This 253-nucleotide ribosomal RNA is filed under the name uncultured bacterium. Its description in RNAcentral is "partial 16S ribosomal RNA". It matches the Rfam family "Bacterial small subunit ribosomal RNA", at positions 524 to 776 of the family's 1533-position model. The record is from RNAcentral.
UACGGAGGGUGCAAACGUUGCUCGGAAUCAUUGGGCGUAAAGCGCACGUAGGCGGUCCAGUAAGUCGGGUGUGAAAUCCCUCGGCUCAACCGAGGAAGUGCAUUCGAAACUACUGAACUUGAGUAUGGAAGAGGGUCGCGGAAUUCCCGGUGUAGAGGUGAAAUUCGUAGAUAUCGGGAGGAACACCAGUGGCGAAGGCGGCGACCUGGGCCAAUACUGACGCUGAGGUGCGAAAGCGUGGGGAGCAAAAGGG